AUUUUUGGCAACCCUGCCCUUCACAUCAUCAUCACAGUAUCACACUAUUCAUCAAUUUAAUUUAUCACUAUUUUCAGUAUUCGGUGGUGUGAGUCAUUUUGAAUGUGACUGUCAAAGCCUAGGAAAGGUUUUUGUGAAAUUGACAAAGGCAAGAGUGAGGCUAUACUUCAUAGGAUUACUUGUGACUAUUCUAAACAAUUGAAACUGAGAAAAAUGGAAGAAGAGUCAUCUACCACUCCUCCUGUGUGGAUGAUAGAUCUGGAGAAGAGACUUGAAAAUAUUAAACAGCAUAGGAAAUUGGGUCACGAGGUCGGCGCUGGUUCUAAAUGCCUCAAGUGCUUGGAUGCUUGUCCUGGGCUGGAGUUGCACUAUUGGAGGAAAAGAUGUAUAAGCUGCAAGUGUAAAAAAGAGGAUCAUGAUGUUCCACCAAAUGAAAAUGACCUUCGUUUUGAAAUAUUGUUGUACAAAGAUCCCCAAAAUAAUGCCAAACAAUCCAGACCCGCAAAAACAGAGUUACUUCAUAUCAUGACAAAAAUACCAAAAACUAAAACUGAUGACCUGAAAACUAUUCUAAAUGAGACUGGACCAACAGAUAAGACUUUGUGGUUUGACUGGGUCCCCCCACACGUAUCUAAGGAGUUGGCUGCAGAGUACAUGGUUCAACUCCCAGUGAACAAAAUGCCGAUCAGCAGUUCCGUUGGAGCAGUACAGCGCAAUCUACAGCUUGCCAAGCAGAUUCCGCUUCAUGAUAUUGAUCCAUCAGUCUGGCACAAACUACCUGCAGAAGCACAAGCUGGAUUUCAGAAGUACUUACAAAAUAUUCGAGAUAAUGUAGUUGGACAAGGAAGAGUCCUAAAGGUUUGUCAUAAGCAGUAUGUAGCAGAAAGUUCUGAUCAAAACUUACAGCAACCUCAACAAUCGAAAAAUGUCAGGCAUGACCAGAGCUUUCAAACCAACAUGCCGCAAUCACCGCAAAUAAUCAAUAAGUUCCCAGGAACGAACCAACAAGAGGAUAAUGCCCGUUAUUUAGACUUUAGGAAUCGUAACUUGCAGCCAGUGUGGAAACCUGUGAGUCCCAGGGUUCCAGUAGUCAUGAGACCUAAGCCACUGCUGGCAGAAAUCUCCAAUUUGCUGCCUCCAAAGUGUUUGGACCCUACACCAAGAUUUCCUGCUCCUCUAGAUGAUCCCUCAUUCCUAGACAAUGAAAAGAAUGGAGUGAAUGAUCUAACAAGAGCUCUGGCAGCAUCGCAUAUCACCAAUCCCGAUGUGCAAAAUGCAGAUUCUAAAUGUGAAGAAGAUAAAAUAAACAAAGCCUUGUCUCCCAACCCUGAUGAUAAAUCAUCAUCCCGUGAAGAGGCAACCACUACUCCAUCUAAUCCUUCAGGCAGCUUUGGAGACAAUAUUGGUGAAAAUCGUGACAAUGUCCAAGACAAGUCAUCAGUUUUGGGUCAGAAUCAGCCGUAUCAGUUGAAUACACAGUAUGGCUUUGAUAGCCAUCCGACAGGCUAUGUGCCCAGAACAAAUGUUCCUGCAAACAAACCGUCCGAUGGCAGAAGCCAACUGCCUCCGAGUGUUCCGAGAUACGUCAGAAUCACACAACAAGAUGAGGAUUUAAGAAAUGCCAAUAAGCAAAUGGAGAAUUCCCUGGCCUGCGCUCAGUGUCAUGAACCAAUACUAACGGGCUCGGUGGCAGUGGUAACUGAUCGGGCUGGACCUGGAGUGGCAUGGCACCCCCAGUGCUUUGUGUGCAAUACAUGCAAUGAGUUAUUGGUAGAUCUAAUCUACUUUUUCCAUAAGAACAAAGUGUAUUGUGGACGCCAUUACGCAGAUAUAAAGAAAAUCCCCCGAUGCCAUGCUUGUGAUGAGCUCAUCUUCGUUAAUGUGUACACUAUGGCCGAAGACAAGGCUUACCACGUGGGACACUUCUGUUGCGCUGAGUGCGAAGUUGAACUCGGAGGGAUGAAAUAUGUUCUCUCUGAAGACCAAACUAUCUGCCUGCCAUGUUAUGAAACCAAAUACUGCAAGAAGUGCCAAAGCUGUGGAAAGAUCAUCAAGCCUGACGAACAAGGAGUUACCAUAAUGGACAUGCAUUGGCAUGCUACCGGAACAUGCUUCCACUGCAACAGUUGUGGCAAUUCUCUGAUAGGUUCAAGAGUUGUACGCAGAGGAGGCACUCUCUACUGCUCAAGAGAUUGUUCGGUGUCAGCUAUGGAUGAUGUUAGCUACAGAGCUAUGUAAGUUUGUAUUGUAAUGCGAGUAAAGUGAUUUUACCUUUUAUGUGCUUUUAUAAAACUCCAACUUUUUACAUGUGUCCAUUAAAACAUGUAUAUUUAUAUCUACUAUUUCUUAUGUUAGUUUGUAUUAAGUAAUUUUCUCCUAUUUUUUGACUAGCUUAUUUAGAAUUAGCAACAAAAAUGAACAAAGGUUAUUAAUUUUGCGAACAAUUUCACUCCCUUGCUGACAAGUCACGUCGAAUUUGUGAUUCAAGAAUUUGUUAGCAUUUAAAAUAUAACAUGUAGCCAUUUUGACAUUAACCCUUUUAGGACUGGAAAUUUUCAUAUUUUUCCCACCUAAAAGACCAUGCAGAAUUGUAGUAGUUCAUAAAGUAAAAUUGACUGAAAAAAUCUACUGGACUAAUAGAUCUACUGAAUUGAUUUGUUUGAGCAUUUUUCUUUGUAAAAACUAGGGAAAAACAAAAAAUGUAUAUAUUUUGUGAAAAGUUUACAAACAUUUCAAAAUAUUUCUUUAAAAUGUAGUAUUUGUUUCAUAAAAAAUGUUUAAAUAGUAAAAAUAUGUAGCAUUUGAAAUAAAUGCACUCAUAUUUACGGUUAAAAUGUUUUUUGAGAUUACAAGUUAUUUUAACAAUUCAUCAAAAUGUUCAUACAAAAGUAAUAUAAGAAUAUAUAAUUAUUUUAAGAAUAAUAAAUUCAAAUCAAAUCAAAAGAUCCUUAUUACAAUUUUUUUCAAUACUCCUUAUUUCUUAUUCAGUUGGGUACCCUCCUAUCAACCCUGACUUAAACACACACUGACUUAAUGACUGUGGUUGAUGGUACCUCAGUCAUUUUAUCAAGCACUUUAUCAUCUACGUCAACGUCAAUUAAUUAUUAUCAUUAAGCAAUGAAAAAUAAGCUUAAAUGCCAUAAUCACAGAUUCGGUACUAUGCCGGUCCACGUACUGAUUAAUUGAUAGAGAUGGAGAGUCAGAGAAAUGGGUUGGGAAAGGGAACCAUUCCUGUUUAUAUAGGAACACAGUGCGGGCAAUAUCGAUGUCAAGAAAUUCAAACCAACCCCGAGCCAACUAAAACCGGAUUUUAAAAUAAAAUUCUUAAAUUGUAUUACCAAUAUAUUGGUGAUUGGUCUUUUUAGCCUAAACCUAAACAUAAUAAUAUAUGGGUUGUUGUUUCCUAAAAGGGUUACUAUACUUUUUAUAACAAUAUAUAGUGAAGCUAAUUAGGUAAAUUUUUACUUAAUUAGAUUGUACUCUUAUGUCUUAUAUAACAUACCAUGUUAAAUAUGCUAAUUUGAUACUAUAAUUAAUUGUAUAAGAUAACACACAGUGUACCACUAUUAUUAAACUUGACAAAUUUAUUAUUAUUGUUAUAUUUUUUAUUUUGUGCAAUGUCCACUGCCAUAUUUUUCUACAUAGGUACUGUAAUAAUGUAUAACUCAAGAGCCUAGGAACUGUUUUGCUAUGUAGUGUAUCAUCUUGUAGUGUGUCACUUUUAUAAGGUGAGAUAAUUAUGAUUGUGGUCAGGUAUUAUCUACUCUUUAUGUUCAUGUCAAGUAUUAGGGCCAGUUUCUAUUUCUUGUGCUUAUAAUGGGUGUUUACUGGAUUUCUAGACAAUGGCAGUUAUUCUAUAGCUACAUAUUAUUUUGGAAUUUUUAUUGACUGUAUACAUUCAUAAUUAUUUCUUAGGUUUAGGAAAAUAUGUGAAUACAUAUUAUUAAUAGAAUAUUUAUAUGAAGUUACCUAAAUGGAGGUAGUUCAGUUCAUUCAUUUAUAUCUUAUGUAUUAUUUCAUAUUUUUAAUAUAGAUAGUUUCAUGAAUAUUUUCACAGGUAAAUAAAAUAUUACAUCUCCAUUGAAUUUCAUGUGUAUAGACUGUCAUAGACAUAUCAGUUUAAGUGAAAUCUAGUAAUUAAUAAUAAAUUCCAACAUAGUUGCCAAUUUGAGAAUAGUCUUUUUUAUUGUGAUAAAGAAAGUCUGCUAGUCUGUAAGUUAUAAAAUUGAUUCUUAUAAAUUAAUGUAAAGGUUGCCCAAAUGUUGUGUUAUUGCUUAAGAGAAGCAACAUAAUUUGUAGUAGAUUUGGUCACAGAGAGCUUUACUGAAAUAAUUAACGGAUGCUCCCAGUAAAGUGACUGCUUGAAUGAGGUUUGUCCGCAAAGUAUCUAACCUUGUGCUGUAGCCUCCCACCACUUCAUCUCCUAUCUGCACAAUGCUUAAUUUCCUUCAUUGCCUGUAGUUACUGCCUUUUUUCAGUGCCCUUCUUCUUCCAGCUCGAAUGAGGUUGGCUGCAAAGUAUCUAACCUUGUGCUGUAGCCUCCCACCACUUCAUCUCCUAUCUGCACAAUGCUUAAUUUCCUUCAUUGCCUGUAGUUACUGCCUUUUUUUCAGUGCCCUUCUUCUUCCAGCUCGAAUGAGGUUUGUCCGCAAAGUAUCUAACCUUGUGCUGUAGCCUCCCACCACUUCAUCUCCUAUCUGCACAAUGCUUAAUUUCCUUCAUUGCCUGUAGUUACUGCCUUUUUUCAGUGCCCUUCUUCUUCCAGCUCGAAUGAGGUUUGUCCGCAAAGUAUCUAACCUUGUGCUGUAGCCUCCCACCACUUCAUCUCCUAUCUGCACAAUGCUUAAUUUCCUUCAUUGCCUGUAGUUACUGCCUUUUUUCAGUGCCCUUCUUCUUCCAGCUCGAAUGAGGUUUGUCCGCAAAGUAUCUAACCUUGUGCUGUAGCCUCCCACCACUUCAUCUCCUAUCUGCACAAUGCUUAAUUUCCUUCAUUGCCUGUAGUUACUGCCUUUUUUCAGUGCCCUUCUUCUUCCAGCUCGAAUGAGGUUGGCUGCAAAGUAUCUAACCUUGUGCUGUAGCCUCCCACCACUUCAUCUCCUAUCUGCACAAUGCUUAAUUUCCUUCAUUGCCUGUAGUUACUGCCUUUUUUCAGUGCCCUUCUUCUUCCAGCUCGAAUGAGGUUUGUCCGCAAAGUAUCUAACCUUGUGCUGUAGCCUCCCACCACUUCAUCUCCUAUCUGCACAAUGCUUAAUUUCCUUCAUUGCCUGUAGUUACUGCCUUUUUUCAGUGCCCUUCUUCUUCCAGCUCGAAUGAGGUUGGCUGCAAAGUAUCUAACCUUGUGCUGUAGUCUUCCACAACCUCUUCUCCUAUCUAAACAUAUUUUAAAAAGUUUAAAAAAUAAUCCAUGUACGCUUUCAUCCAUGUACACCACUCCCAAAUAGAAAGGCUCUUUGGAAGUUAGCUGUCAUAACCCUAAGACUCUGUGACAUCAUGUUGGAUGGCAGUAAAAGGUCUGCUCGGACAAAACUGAGGUUGUACCUUAUUCAGCCCAGGUAACCCACGAUUUGUUACCUGUUAAUUAAGUUUUCUGAAAUGUACAGUAUCUAGUCUUUGUUGUUUUUGUUCAUUACAAUAUUGUUCUCUCUAAUUUUUCACAUACCUUUUGUCAUGUUCAAAUUUUCAGGUAUAAUUUUGUUAACCUAUCGUCCUGUACAAUUAAAGUCUAUAUUGAUUUACCCUGGACUGAAACGCCAUUCUGAAUCCGUGAGAUUAUUUACUUUAGUUACAUUUUGUCCAAACAUUUCUGUGAAGGGCUUUCAGAUCGCGCUAUGUCAUUGUAACGCUCAUCAAGUGAAUACUCUAUUUUUGAAAUUUUCUGCCAUGACAAGAACGCUAAAGCAGUUUUUGCGCCAAAUUCGAUCAUGAUUGAGGUUCCCUCACCAAAAAUCCCACAAUCGGGGAAUGUGCUGCUGGUAACUAGAGCACUGUGCAACAACCACAUUCAAUUCUUUACUUUAGGUCUUCAGAUUGCAUUUUAUUUUUCUUUUACUCUCUCAAAUCUUGUACAUUCCAGAGAACUUUUCAUUAUUUGGAAGAGCAAAUAGGAAUUGUCAAAAUUAUGACUCAAACACUCUACUGUUGUAAACACUAGUUUUGGAUUAGUUUUAAAUUCCUCUGUAGAAUUAUACAAAAACAGUAUAUGAGAUUUUCGGCCUUCUUACAAAUAUUUUAUAUUCAAUUCAAUCCGUUUUGACCGUUUUUAUUGGCAUGAAUACAUUCAAAAUUUUGUUCAGUUGCUCAACAUUGUAGCUUCUAUUAAAUGUAGAGAUUAAUAUUUAUAUAAAAAAAAUUAUGUUUUUUCUGGAAACAUUUUGGAAGGAAACAUGGGCAUGUAUGCAUCACCCUCCUGAUCUAUUACGUUACAACUGCUCUGGGGUACAUUUGAUUCAAACCUAUUUGCUGAUUUCUUAUAAUAAAGUAUUUAUCAAAUAUAGAUAUAUUUUUAUUGUUAUGUACGUUCAUGUUUUCUAAAUACUGUCAUGUAAGCAACACUUAAAUAUAUGUAUUUUUAUUGUUCUUAAAA
Molecule: unclassified non-coding RNA, 6583 nt
Filed under: Homalodisca vitripennis (glassy-winged sharpshooter)
Lineage: Eukaryota; Metazoa; Arthropoda; Insecta; Hemiptera; Cicadellidae
Description: testin, transcript variant X1
Source: RNAcentral